RNAcentral lists this transfer RNA (89 nucleotides) under Alteripontixanthobacter maritimus. RNAcentral describes it as "Altererythrobacter sp. HME9302 tRNA-Ser". It matches the Rfam family "tRNA". Rfam says of the family: Transfer RNA (tRNA) molecules are approximately 80 nucleotides in length. Their secondary structure includes four short double-helical elements and three loops (D, anti-codon, and T loops). Further hydrogen bonds mediate the characteristic L-shaped molecular structure. tRNAs have two regions of fundamental functional importance: the anti-codon, which is responsible for specific mRNA codon recognition, and the 3' end, to which the tRNAs corresponding amino acid is attached (by aminoacyl-tRNA synthetases). tRNAs cope with the degeneracy of the genetic code in two manners: having more than one tRNA (with a specific anti-codon) for a particular amino acid; and 'wobble' base-pairing, i.e. permitting non-standard base-pairing at the 3rd anti-codon position. The record is from RNAcentral. Lineage: Bacteria; Pseudomonadati; Pseudomonadota; Alphaproteobacteria; Sphingomonadales; Erythrobacteraceae. RNAcentral also lists the same sequence under 1 other name.
GGAGAGGUGCCGGAGUGGUCGAACGGGGCAGUCUCGAAAACUGUUGAGCCUUAUGGGUUCCGUGGGUUCGAAUCCCACCCUCUCCGCCA